UACGUAGGGUGCAAGCGUUAAUCGGAAUUACUGGGCGUAAAGCGUGCGCAGGCGGUUGUGCAAGACAGAUGUGAAAUCCCCGGGCUCAACCUGGGAACUGCAUUUGUGACUGCACGGCUGGAGUGCGGCAGAGGGGGAUGGAAUUCCGCGUGUAGCAGUGAAAUGCGUAGAUAUGCGGAGGAACACCGAUGGCGAAGGCAAUCCCCUGGGCCUGCACUGACGCUGAGGAGCGAAAGCGUGGGGAGCGAACAGG
This 253-nucleotide ribosomal RNA is filed under the name uncultured bacterium. RNAcentral's name for it is "partial 16S ribosomal RNA". It matches the Rfam family "Bacterial small subunit ribosomal RNA", at positions 524 to 776 of the family's 1533-position model. The record is from RNAcentral.